Molecule: ribosomal RNA, 1284 nt
Filed under: metagenome
Description: bacterial SSU rRNA
Rfam family: Bacterial small subunit ribosomal RNA
Source: RNAcentral
UAGCUAGUUGGUGAGGUAAAGGCUUACCAAGGCGACGAUCUGUAGCGGUCUGAGAGGAUGAUCCGCCACACUGGAACUGAGACACGGUCCAGACUCCUACGGGAGGCAGCAGUGGGGAAUUUUGGACAAUGGGGGCAACCCUGAUCCAGCCAUGCCGCGUGAGUGAAGAAGGCCUUCGGGUUGUAAAGCUCUUUCGGCCGGGAAGAAAUCGCAUGGGCCAAUACCCUGUGUGGAUGACGGUACCGGAAUAAGAAGCACCGGCUAACUACGUGCCAGCAGCCGCGGUAAUACGUAGGGUGCGAGCGUUAAUCGGAAUUACUGGGCGUAAAGCGUGCGCAGGCGGUUUUGUAAGACAGGCGUGAAAUCCCCGGGCUUAACCUGGGAACUGCGUUUGUGACUGCAAGGCUAGAGUACGGCAGAGGGGGGUGGAAUUCCACGUGUAGCAGUGAAAUGCGUAGAGAUGUGGAGGAACACCAAUGGCGAAGGCAGCCCCCUGGGUCGAUACUGACGCUCAUGCACGAAAGCGUGGGUAGCAAACAGGAUUAGAUACCCUGGUAGUCCACGCCCUAAACUAUGUCAACUAGGUGUUGGGUGGGUAAAACCAUUUAGUACCGUAGCUAACGCGUGAAGUUGACCGCCUGGGGAGUACGGCCGCAAGGUUAAAACUCAAAGGAAUUGACGGGGACCCGCACAAGCGGUGGAUGAUGUGGAUUAAUUCGAUGCAACGCGAAAAACCUUACCUACCCUUGACAUGCCAGGAACUUGCCAGAGAUGGCUUGGUGCCCGAAAGGGAGCCUGGACACAGGUGCUGCAUGGCUGUCGUCAGCUCGUGUCGUGAGAUGUUGGGUUAAGUCCCGCAACGAGCGCAACCCUUGUCGUUAAUUGCCAUCAUUUAGUUGGGCACUUUAACGGGACUGCCGGUGACAAACCGGAGGAAGGUGGGGAUGACGUCAAGUCCUCAUGGCCCUUAUGGGUAGGGCUUCACACGUCAUACAAUGGUCGGUACAAAGGGUUGCCAAGCCGCGAGGCGGAGCCAAUCCCAGAAAGCCGAUCGUAGUCCGGAUUGCAGGCUGCAACUUGCCUGCAUGAAGUCGGAAUCGCUAGUAAUCGUGGAUCAGCAUGUCACGGUGAAUACGUUCCCGGGUCUUGUACACACCGCCCGUCACACCAUGGGAGCGGGUUCCGCCAGAAGUAGGUAGCCUAACCGCAAGGGGGGCGCUUACCACGGCGGGGUUCGUGACUGGGGUGAAGUCGUAACAAGGUAGCCGUAGGAACCUGCGGCUG